UACGUAGGGUGCAAGCGUUAAUCGGAGUUACUGGGCGUAAAGCGUGCGCAGGCGGUUAUGUAAGACAGGUGUGAAAUCCCCGGGCUUAACCUGGGAACUGCAUUUGUGACUGCAUAGCUAGAGUACGGUAGAGGGGGAUGGAAUUCCGCGUGUAGCAGUGAAAUGCGUAGAUAUGCGGAGGAACACCGAUGGCGAAGGCAAUCCCCUGGACCUGUACUGACGCUCAUGCACGAAAGCGUGGGGAGCAAACAGG
This 253-nucleotide ribosomal RNA is filed under the name uncultured bacterium. RNAcentral describes it as "partial 16S ribosomal RNA". It matches the Rfam family "Bacterial small subunit ribosomal RNA", at positions 524 to 776 of the family's 1533-position model. The record is from RNAcentral.